Molecule: ribosomal RNA, 446 nt
Filed under: uncultured bacterium
Lineage: Bacteria
Description: partial 16S ribosomal RNA
Rfam family: Bacterial small subunit ribosomal RNA
Source: RNAcentral
CACCAGACUCCUACGGGAGGCAGCAGUGGGGGAUAUUGCACAAUGGAGGAAACUCUGAUGCAGCGACGCCGCGUGAGGGAAGACGGUCUUCGGAUUGUAAACCUCUGUCUUUGGGGAAGAAAAUGACGGUACCCAAAGAGGAAGCUCCGGCUAACUACGUGCCAGCAGCCGCGGUAAUACGGAGGGUGCGAGCGUUAAUCGGAAUUACUGGGCGUAAAGCGCUCGUAGGCGGUAUGUCAAGUCAAGGGUGAAAUCCCCGCGCUCAACGUGGGAACUGCCUUUGAAACUGGCAAACUGGAGUGUGUGAGAGGAUAGUGGAAUUCCAGGUGUAGGAGUGAAAUCCGUAGAUAUCUGGAGGAACAUCAGUGGCGAAGGCGGCUUACUGGACGGCAACUGACGCUGAGGCUCGAAAGCGUGGGGAGCAAACAGGAUUAGAUACCCCAGUA